Molecule: long non-coding RNA, 462 nt
Organism: Triticum dicoccoides
Lineage: Eukaryota; Viridiplantae; Streptophyta; Magnoliopsida; Poales; Poaceae
Exons: 2
Source: RefSeq, a predicted model, not a curated record
UUAGCUACGACACACCUCACAUUGCUUCUCCACGCUGGACUAGUGGACCUGCAAUGGAUCAACUCAAACAAAAUUACCCAAGGUAAAAAAGAUGAUGUCAGGAAUCACCGGGACCUAGAUCGACAGCCUCUAAUGGAGUGGAUGCCUACUUUCUGCAGAGAGAUUUAAGGGAACCUGUGACGAUGGUUGUUGUUUAGGCUUCGGUUUUUUCAGUACACCUUUGGAUGCAUUCUCGAUUCAUCUUAUAGGUCAAGAGCUUCCUUUAGUUCAAGGAUUAAACAAAGAAAAGAUUGGCGCACUGCAGUUUUGCAUUUUAGUGCAAGCACGCUAGACUCCCAUGAAAUAUCUUGUCAAAAAAUGGUUGAUCGUAAGUGCAAGUACACUACACACGCCGAGCUGCAAUGGGACACGGUGACAUCACUUCUUUUGGGUUGUUUUCUCUAUGAAUCUGCAUUUUCGUUA